Molecule: long non-coding RNA, 1424 nt
Filed under: Struthio camelus australis
Lineage: Eukaryota; Metazoa; Chordata; Aves; Struthioniformes; Struthionidae
Description: lncRNA (ENSSCUG00000012088.1)
Source: RNAcentral
GCUAUUACUGUGACAGCCAGCAAGGACCAGUCAUUGAUUUUACCCUUUACCCAUGCCCGCAAGGUUUUUACUGUCCACCAGGGACCCGCCAGAGCACUCAGUACAGCUGCCCUGCAGGAACCUUUGGGCCGAGGCAGAAACUGACAACAGUCAAGCAAUGUCAAAGAUGCCCACCGGGAAAAUACUGUGAAUUCUCUGGACUUGCUGCCCCAACAGGCGCCUGUGCGGAGGGAUUCUGGUGCAAAAGUGGUGCCCGAGUGAGAAACCCCCGAGAUGGAGAGUCAGGACUGCCUUGUCCUCCUGGUCAUUACUGCCCUGAAGGUACGAUGCUUUGCUUAGGACAAUUUUUCCUUAAUUCAUGGUGAAGCAUGAGAUGGGAUUUCCUCUCUCUGCUGCGUUUCACGUUGCCAGGUGCACCACUUCCGUUACAGUGCCCUCCUGGCACUUGGUCUGACAGUGAAGGGGGUAGGAAUUUGCAGGAGUGCCAGCCUUGCCCUGGGGGAUAUUACUGUAACAGCUCUGGACUGAGGGCCCCUUCAGGACAUUGCAGCCCAGGGUAUUACUGCGUCUCCGGGGCCCAGACUCCAGCACCCACUGAUGGCCUCUCAGGAGCUCCAUGUCCCAUCAGACACUUUUGCCCUCUUGGAUCCAGGAGUCCAGCUCCAUGCCCCCCUGGCUCCUACAUGCCACAAACCCAUGGAGAGGAGUGCCACGCUUGUGCAGAGGGUGAAUACUGUGUCCCUGGUGAAAAGCCACAGCCAUGUCCUCAGGGUUUCUACUGCCCCGGAGGAACAGGUUUAGACUGGCAGCCCUGCCCGCCAGGUACUUAUAGCCCCGAGCAAGGACAGGGAAGCAGAACCAGCUGCAGAGCUUGUGAUGGAGGGAAGUUCUGUCAGUAUCACAAUGCAACUGCUGUGACUGGAGAGUGCUGGGAAGGUUACUAUUGCACUCAAGGAUCUUAUAAGCCUAACCCAGAUGCCGUGAUACAAGGUGCCACUUCUCUUUUGCUAAUGCCGCGUGGGUUUCUGCAGCUCCUUACAGUUGGUUUCUCCGUGACAGCACCCACCUCUGCAAGGAACUGGGGUCUGUUUCCGUGGGGGCUGUGUGGCCAGUUCACUGGCAGUGAGUUGUAAGUCAGCACCGUAACUGUUUUGUCCUAGGUGCAGUAAAAGCAGUGCUCAGAAGAGAGUGGAAGGAAAGAACUCUUGGGUUCAGUCUUGAAGUGUGUGUUCUGUCACCUAGGCCUAUGCCUAGAUCGCUGAAUGUAAAGUAACGGCUAAAUUUCCUGCCGCUACUGUUCCGAAGAGCCCUUGUGCAGCAACUUGAGUUCUAACUUCAUCUUAGACGGGAAUGAGUUAAAGACUGCGAGCGGUCUGCAGAGAAAUCGCUCAUGGCAUGAAUAAAUCACAGCUCUUAAAGACGCA